UACGGAGGGGGCAAGCGUUGUUCGGAAUUACUGGGCGUAAAGGGCUCGUAGGUGGCCAACUAAGUCAGACGUGAAAUCCCCAGGCUCAACUUGGGAACUGCGUCUGAUACUGGAUGGCUUGAAUUCGGGAGAGGGAUGCAGAAUUCCAGGUGUAGCGGUGAAAUGCGUAGAUAUCUGGAGGAAUACCGGUGGCGAAGGCGGCAUCCUGGACCGAUAUUGACGCUGAGGCACGAAAGCCAGGGGAGCAAACGGG
RNAcentral lists this ribosomal RNA (253 nucleotides) under uncultured bacterium. Its description in RNAcentral is "partial 16S ribosomal RNA". It matches the Rfam family "Bacterial small subunit ribosomal RNA", at positions 524 to 776 of the family's 1533-position model. The record is from RNAcentral.